UAGGGAAUCUUCCGCAAUGGGCGAAAGCCUGACGGAGCAACGCCGCGUGAGUGAUGAAGGUCUUCGGAUCGUAAAACUCUGUUAUUAGGGAAGAACAAAUGUGUAAGUAACUAUGCACGUCUUGACGGUAUCUAAUCAGAAAGCCACGGCUAACUACGUGCCAGCAGCCGCGGUAAUACGUAGGUGGCAAGCGUUAUCCGGAAUUAUUGGGCGUAAAGCGCGCGUAGGCGGUUUUUUAAGUCUGAUGUGAAAGCCCACGGCUCAACCGUGUAGGGUCAUUGGCAACUGGAAAACUUGAGUGCAGAAGAGGAAAGUGGAAUUCCAUGUGUAGCGGUGAAAUGCGCAGAGAUAUGGAGGAACACCAGUGGCGAAGGCGACUUUCUGGUCUGUAACUGACGCUGAUGUGAGAAAGCGUGGGGAUCAAACAGG
RNAcentral lists this ribosomal RNA (429 nucleotides) under Actinomycetes bacterium. RNAcentral describes it as "Actinobacteria bacterium partial 16S ribosomal RNA". It matches the Rfam family "Bacterial small subunit ribosomal RNA", at positions 355 to 776 of the family's 1533-position model. Lineage: Bacteria; Bacillati; Actinomycetota; Actinomycetes. The record is from RNAcentral.